RNAcentral lists this long non-coding RNA (219 nucleotides) under Ananas comosus (pineapple). RNAcentral describes it as "long non-coding RNA (ACOM_LNC024180)". The record is from RNAcentral. Lineage: Eukaryota; Viridiplantae; Streptophyta; Magnoliopsida; Poales; Bromeliaceae.
ACUUCUUUUGUUAAUUUAGAGAUGUAAAGUUGUAAACAAUCAUGUAUUUUUCGUGGAUGGCUAAAAUGUAAAGAAUUAUGUUGAAUUGAAAAAGAAUGUAAUAGUUGUAGUUUACUUUUAUUUGGUUCAAAUGAAAUCAAAUAUUAUGUAUGUUGGAUAUGGUAGUAUAGAGCUUUCGCUUCCGUUGUUGCUUGCCCUCGCGCAAGCCUUGUAUAAAUG